GACGAACGCUGGCGGCGUGCUUAACACAUGCAAGUCGAACGGAAAGGCCCUGCUUGCAGGGUACUCGAGUGGCGAACGGGUGAGUAACACGUGGGUUAUCUGCCCUGCACUUCGGGAUAAGCCUGGGAAACUGGGUCUAAUACCGGAUAGGAGCCAUUUUUAGUGUGAUGGUUGGAAAGUUUUUUCGGUGUAGGAUGAGCUCGCGGCCUAUCAGCUUGUUGGUGGGGUAAUGGCCUACCAAGGCGGCGACGGGUAGCCGGCCUGAGAGGGUGGACAGCCACAUUGGGACUGAGAUACGGCCCAGACUCCUACGGGAGGCAGCAGUGGGGAAUAUUGCACAAUGGGCGCAAGCCGGAUGCAGCGACGCCGCGUGGGGGAUGACGGCCUUCGGGUUGUAAACUCCUUUCGCUAGGGACGAAGCUUUUUGUGACGGUACCUAGAUAAGAAGCACCGGCUAACUACGUG
Molecule: ribosomal RNA, 465 nt
Filed under: uncultured bacterium
Lineage: Bacteria
Description: partial 16S ribosomal RNA
Rfam family: Bacterial small subunit ribosomal RNA
Source: RNAcentral